AUGCACGCUGGCGGCGUGCUUAACCCAUGCAAGUCGAACGGAAAGGCCCAAGCUUGCUUGGGUACUCGAGUGGCGAACGGGUGAGUAACACGUGGGUGAUCUGCCCUGCACUUCGGGAUAAGCCUGGGAAACUGGGUCUAAUACUGGAUAGGACCACUUCUUGGAUGUUGUGGUGGAAAGUUUUUUCGGUGUGGGAUGAGCUCGCGGCCUAUCAGCUUGUUGGUGGGGUAAUGGCCUACCAAGGCGUCGACGGGUAGCCGGCCUGAGAGGGUGUACGGCCACAUUGGGACUGAGAUACGGCCCAGACUCCUACGGGAGGCAGCAGUGGGGAAUAUUGCACAAUGGGCGCAAGCCUGAUGCAGCGACGCCGCGUGGGGGAUGACGGCCUUCGGGUUGUAAACUCCUUUCGCUAGGGACGAAGCGUUUUGUGACGGUACCUGGAGAAGAAGCACCGGCUAACUACGUG
This 466-nucleotide ribosomal RNA is filed under the name uncultured bacterium. Its description in RNAcentral is "partial 16S ribosomal RNA". It matches the Rfam family "Bacterial small subunit ribosomal RNA", at positions 29 to 507 of the family's 1533-position model. The record is from RNAcentral.